CCUACGGGGGGCAGCAGUGAGGAAUAUUGGUCAAUGGGCUUACGCCUGAACCAGCCAAGUCGCGUGAGGGAAGACUGCCCUAUGGGUUGUAAACCUCUUUUGUCAGGGAGCAACGCCGGCUACGUGUAGCCGGACUGAGAGUACCUGAAGAAAAAGCAUCGGCUAACUCCGUGCCAGCAGCCGCGGUAAUACGGAGGAUGCGAGCGUUAUCCGGAUUUAUUGGGUUUAAAGGGUGCGUAGGCGGAAUGCCAAGUCAGCGGUAAAGUCGCGGGGCUCAACCUCGCUCCGCCGUUGAAACUGGCGUUCUUGAGUGGGCGAGAAGUAUGCGGAAGGCGAGGUGUAGCGGUGGAAUGCAUAGAUAUCACGCAGAACUCCGGUUGCGAAGGCAGCAUACCGGCGCCCAACUGACGCUGAAGCACGAAAGCGUGGGUAUCGAACAGGAUUAGAUACCCGGGUAGUC
RNAcentral lists this ribosomal RNA (460 nucleotides) under uncultured bacterium. RNAcentral describes it as "partial 16S ribosomal RNA". It matches the Rfam family "Bacterial small subunit ribosomal RNA", at positions 338 to 795 of the family's 1533-position model. The record is from RNAcentral.